This 497-nucleotide ribosomal RNA is filed under the name uncultured bacterium. Its description in RNAcentral is "partial 16S ribosomal RNA". It matches the Rfam family "Bacterial small subunit ribosomal RNA", at positions 28 to 507 of the family's 1533-position model. The record is from RNAcentral.
GACGAACGCUGGCGGCGUGCCUAAUACAUGCAAGUUGAGCGCUGAAGGUUGGUACUUGUACCGACUGGCUGAGCAGCGAACGGGUGAGUAACGCGUGGGGAAUCUGCCUUUGAGCGGGGGACAACAUUUGGAAACGAAUGCUAAUACCGCAUAAAAACUUUAAACACAAGUUUUAAGUUUGAAAGAUGCAAUUGCAUCACUCAAAGAUGAUCCCGCGUUGUAUUAGCUAGUUGGCGAGGUAAAGGCUCACCAAGGCGAUGAUACAUAGCCGACCUGAGAGGGUGAUCGGCCACAUUGGGACUGAGACACGGCCCAAACUCCUACGGGAGGCAGCAGUAGGGAAUCUUCGGCAAUGGACGAAAGUCUGACCGAGCAACGCCGCGUGAGUGAAGAAGGUUGUCGGAUCGUAAAACUCUGUUGGUAGAUAAGAACGUUGGUGAGAGUGGAAAGCUCAUCAAGUGACGGUAACUACCCAGAAAGGGACGGCUAACUACGUG